Molecule: long non-coding RNA, 653 nt
Organism: Pseudoliparis swirei
Lineage: Eukaryota; Metazoa; Chordata; Actinopteri; Perciformes; Liparidae
Exons: 2
Source: RefSeq, a predicted model, not a curated record
UGUCGGCGCGCGCGGGGUUCACGGUGCUGCUGCUGCUGCCGCUGCUUCGGUUUUUCCGUGAUGUCCUCCCCGUCCCCGAAGAACCGAUGCAGUGCGCAUGCUCAGACUCGCUCUUGUGGUUCAGAAUAAAGUCACAGCCGAGCACCACCUGCUGGACGUCCACGGAACAGCAGGGCAACGAUUACAAGCGGUUUCACCAUCCAGCGGUGACCUGGAAGAAAAGCAGCCAUGAAGGAGCAGCAGUCUGCUGCAGCUCAUGGCACUUUAUUCUGAUUAUUUCCAUUUUCCUGUUAAAAUGUUAAAAUUAUCUAUCGAUAGAUUAAAAUAGUUGGAGGAGGUUCAUCUGGUUGUAGAUGUUUUCUUUAACUGAGGUAUGUGCACCUGUGUGAACUGAGUUAUGAUGACUUGAGUCUUAGUUUUGGUUUUAUUCAUUCUGUGAUCUAAAACAAAAAUUAUCUUUCGGUUUUUUAUAUUGUCUGUCACUGUUUUAUGUUGUAUUGUCUGACACUUUGUGUAAUGAGCUGCUGCUUGUCUUGGCCAGGACUGUCAAGGAGAUUCUUAAUCGUAAUGAGGCUUUUCCUGGUUGAAUAAAUGUAUUUUAAAAAAUCAAAAAAAUACAAAAUUAAUUAAGAUUAAAAUUCCACUACAGAUUU